This 312-nucleotide ribosomal RNA is filed under the name Ochromonas sp. CCMP1393. RNAcentral's name for it is "partial Bacterial large subunit ribosomal RNA". It matches the Rfam family "Bacterial large subunit ribosomal RNA", at positions 1637 to 1957 of the family's 2925-position model. Lineage: Eukaryota; Chrysophyceae; Chromulinales; Chromulinaceae. The record is from RNAcentral.
AUAGACCGUACCCGAAACCGACACAGGUGGACAGGUAGAGUAUACCAAGGCGCUUGAGAGAACUAUGUUGAAGGAACUCGGCAAAAUACCUCCGUAAGUUCGCGAGAAGGAGGCCCCGUCAGGACGCAAGUCUUGGCGGGGGGCACAAACCAGGGGGUGGCGACUGUUUACUAAAAACACAGGGCUCUGCGAAGUCGCAAGACGACGUAUAGGGUCUGACGCCUGCCCGGUGCUGGAAGGUUAAAAGGAGGGGUGAGAGCUCUGAAUUGAAGCCCCAGUAAACGGCGGCCGUAACUAUAACGGUCCUAAGGU